AUUGAACGCUGGCGGCAUGCUUUACACAUGCAAGUCGAACGGCAGCACGGGCUUCUGCCUGGUGGCGAGUGGCGAACGGGUGAGUAAUAUAUCGGAACGUACCCAGAAUUGGGGGAUAACGUAGCGAAAGUUACGCUAAUACCGCAUACGAUCUAUGGAUGAAAGCAGGGGACCGCAAGUCCUUGUGCUCCUGGAUCGGCCGAUACCUGAUUAGCUAGUUGGUGAGGUAAAGGCUUACCAAGGCGACGAUCAGUAGCUGGUCUGAGAGGACGACCAGCCACACUGGAACUGAGACACGGUCCAGACUCCUACGGGAGGCAGCAGUGGGGAAUUUUGGACAAUGGGCGCAAGCCUGAUCCAGCAAUGCCGCGUGAGUGAAGAAGGCCUUCGGGUUGUAAAGCUCUUUUGUCAGGGAAGAAACGGUAGAGGCUAAUCUCCUCUGCUAAUGACGGUACCUGAAGAAUAAGCACCGGCUAACUACGUG
RNAcentral lists this ribosomal RNA (484 nucleotides) under uncultured bacterium. Its description in RNAcentral is "partial 16S ribosomal RNA". It matches the Rfam family "Bacterial small subunit ribosomal RNA", at positions 30 to 507 of the family's 1533-position model. The record is from RNAcentral.